CUUGCUUUAGGAAGCGGAAGACUAAUGACCGAAGCUUCAAGACUUUGACAUGUGUGAAAACAUGAAAUGGCUGGAGUGCGAUGGCAUGAUCUUGGCUCACGGCAAACUCCGCCUCCCUGGUUCAAGUGAUUCUCCUGCCUCAGCCUCCCGAGUAGCCGGGAUUACAGGCAUGUGCCACCAUGCCCCGUUGGCCAGGCUGGUCUCGAACACCUUACCUCAGGUGAUCCUCCCACCUUUGGGAUUACAGCAGGCUGAGGAAUUACCAAGGAGGCAGGAGGUGGAGCAAAACACACCAAGCCUGGUGCCAAUCAUUGACAAUAUUAUGGUUAGUACUUACUGAGGGCUGACUAUGGUUGAAACUGCCUUUGCAAAAUUAUGACUGAGACGGUGAAAGAGAUCUAACUUAACCAACGCUAGCUAUCUUGCCUCUAACCUCCAAGCUGUCCUUGUUCAUUCCUGGGCAUAGGCUGAACUAACUUUGGGAGAAAUUUAGUUUAUAGUUUGAAACAAAGAUGAUAACAGCCCUUUGCCAAAGCAGACCUCCUUCUUGUCUGGGGACUAGAUGGCCUUUGUAGGACUAACAUGAGCCACAAGAUUAGAAAUUAUGGAUAGGAGUCAUGCAGCUGGAGUCUCCAAGAUUCUGACCCUCCCUAAACUGCUCCCAAGAUCAAUGCUUGAGAUAUUUUGCAGACCCUGCAUGUGAUGGAUCAGCUGACACCAUCCAGAUCGGUAAACUGGUUCAUCUGAUCUUGUGCCCUCCACCCAGGAACUGACUCAGCGCAAGAAGACAGCUUCGACUCCUUGUGAUUUCAUCCCUAACCAAUCAGCACUCCUGGCUCACUGGCUUCCCCCAACCCACCAAAUUGUCCUUAAAAACUCUGCUCUCCAAACGCUGGGGGAGACUGAUUUGAGUAAUAAUAAAACCCUGGUCUCCUGCA
Molecule: long non-coding RNA, 938 nt
Filed under: Homo sapiens (human)
Lineage: Eukaryota; Metazoa; Chordata; Mammalia; Primates; Hominidae
Description: PCED1B antisense RNA 1
Source: RNAcentral